AAUCUGUUGGUGCGGACAACCAGCAGGGAAGAACUACUACUAAAGGAGGUAAAUGUGAAGUAUCAGGUUACAGUGAAGCGCCUAACUCCGACCGAAGUGAUUGUUUCCGAACAUGUAUUCAAUAAGGAGUUACCUUCAGAUUUAGAUGGCCUGAAAAUGGCCGUUAAAUACUUGAAUAAACUAGUCAAGUAUUUUGUCGGAAGGAAAAGGAAGUAGUUCCCCUCAGAGACUAUACGCCGAGCUCGGCAAAAGGAAAUGUACAUGAAAAACGGGCGAACGGAAUUCGUUCCAAGUAGCCCAAGUCACCUUUGUCGAUGAUGAUAUAGUCCGAACUGCAUAGCGAUAUGCAGAGCGCAGUAGAAAUAUCUGCGCCGCGUAAUAAAAAUUAAUCGCAAAAGAGAUUACCAAAAUUUUACAUUUUGAUAUUUGCAUUUUGCAUUAAUUUUGUUGCGUAGCAACAAAAUUGUAGAUACCCUUGUAGUCCACGCCCUAAACGAUGCAAACUAGCUGUUUCGAGUAUCGACCCUCGGAGUGGCGUAGCUAACGCGUUAAGUUUGCCGCCUGGGAAGUACGGCCGCAAGGCUAAAACUCAAAGGAAUAGACGGGGACUCGCACAAGCGGUGGAGCAUGAGGUUCAAUUCGACAACAAACGAAGAACCUUACCAGGGCUUGAAAUGCUUUCGAAGACGUGCCGAAAGGUGCGUCGUCUCUCAAGGACGGAAGCACAGGUGCUGCAUGGUUGUCGUCAGCUCGUGGUUUGAACUGUUCCCUUAAGUGGGGUAACGAGCGCAACCCUCAUCCGGCGUUUUAUAUGUCGUCGGAAACUGCCCAGCUCAAAGCGCACUUCCAAAAGAAGUGCUUAGUGUAAAAUUAAAAAAUCAAAGUGGAAAAUUUAGGAAUCGUCCCGCAAAGCGGGACUCCAUAAAUUUUUAAUUUUGAUAUUUACAUUUUUCAUUUAGCGCGACGAAGCGCGUUUCGAGCUGGGAGGAAGGCGAGGAUGACGUCAAAUCCGCAUGGCCCUCUGAUGCCCUGGGCUACACUCAUGCUACAAUGGCCGGUACAAAGGGUUGCCAAGUCGUAAGAUGGAGCUAAUCCCAAAAAACCGGCCCCAGUUCAGAUUGAGGGCUGCAACUCGCCCUCAUGAAGUCGGAAUCGCUAGUAAUCGUGGGUCAGCUAUACCACGGUGAAUACGUUCUCGAGUCCUGUACUCACCGCCCGUCACUGCAGGGGAGCCGGGAGUGGUGGAAGUCUCGCUUCGGCGGGAUUACAUCAAGCUCGGUAACAUGGCAGAAGUCGUAACAAGGCACGCGUAGCGGAAGCUGUGCGUG
Molecule: ribosomal RNA, 1328 nt
Filed under: groundwater metagenome
Description: bacterial SSU rRNA
Rfam family: Bacterial small subunit ribosomal RNA (bases 139-1328)
Source: RNAcentral